CUUGUAGGCGGUUGGUCGCGUCUGCCGUGAAAUCCUCUGGCUUAACUAGGGGCGUGCGGUGGGUACGGGCUGACUUGAGUGCGGUAGGGGAGACUGGAAUUCCCGGUGUAACGGUGGAAUGUGUAGAUAUCGGGAAGAACACCAAUGGCGAAGGCAGGUCUCUGGGCCGUUACUGACGCUGAGGAGCGAAAGCGUGGGGAGCGAACA
Molecule: ribosomal RNA, 207 nt
Filed under: uncultured bacterium
Lineage: Bacteria
Description: partial 16S ribosomal RNA
Rfam family: Bacterial small subunit ribosomal RNA
Source: RNAcentral